GGUCACUGCUAUCGGGGUUCGACUAAGCCAUGCAAGUCGAGAGGGGUAAAGCCCUCGGCGAACUGCUCAGUAACACGUGGAUAACCUGACCUAGGGUGGAGGAUAACCCCGGGAAACUGGGGAUAAUACUCCAUAGGCUACGGAAGCUGGAAGGCUCUGUAACCGAAAGCUCCGGCGCCCUAGGAUGGGUCUGCGGCCGAUUAGGUUGUUGUUGGGGUAACGGCCCAACAAGCCGAUCAUCGGUACGGGUUGUGGGAGCAAGAGCCCGGAGAUGGAUUCUGAGACAUGAAUCCAGGCCCUACGGGGCGCAGCAGGCGCGAAAACUUUACAAUGCGGGAAACCGUGAUAAGGGGACCCCGAGUGCCUGUACACGCAGGCUGUUCAGGUGUUUAAAACGCAUCUGGAGA
This 407-nucleotide ribosomal RNA is filed under the name uncultured Methanotrichaceae archaeon. RNAcentral's name for it is "bacterial SSU rRNA". It matches the Rfam family "Archaeal small subunit ribosomal RNA", at positions 22 to 436 of the family's 1478-position model. The record is from RNAcentral. Lineage: Archaea; Methanobacteriati; Methanobacteriota; Methanomicrobia; Methanotrichales; Methanotrichaceae.